This is a non-coding RNA of Populus trichocarpa (black cottonwood), 156 nucleotides long. The record is from Rfam. NCBI's taxonomy places the organism in Eukaryota, Viridiplantae, Streptophyta, Magnoliopsida, Malpighiales, Salicaceae.
UCUAGAACUCGAGAUAUGGGCUGAACACUGAACAAUGUCUAGGUUGUAGGAUAAAUUUUGACUUCUCUGUUAUUGCUAAGAUUUGGACUUCCAAACAGCAGAAUUGAGUCUUGGACUCCUCAUGAAUGUUUUAGGUCUAUGUCUUAGCUUUCAAGC